This 253-nucleotide ribosomal RNA is filed under the name uncultured bacterium. RNAcentral describes it as "partial 16S ribosomal RNA". It matches the Rfam family "Bacterial small subunit ribosomal RNA", at positions 524 to 776 of the family's 1533-position model. The record is from RNAcentral.
GACGAACCGUGCGAACGUUGUUCGGAAUCACUGGGCUUAAAGGGCGCGUAGGCGGCCCGCCGCGUCCGGGGUGAAAUCCUCCCGCUCAACGGGAGAACGGCCUCGGAUACGGGCGGGCUGGAGGGGGGUAGGGGCAGGCGGAACUGUGGGUGGAGCGGUGAAAUGCGUUGAGAUCCACAGGAACUCCGGUGGCGAAGGCGGCCUGCUGGACCCCACCUGACGCUGAGGCGCGAAAGCGUGGGGAGCAAACAGG